UAAACCAGUCUUUUAUAGACACUACACACCUC
RNAcentral lists this non-coding RNA (32 nucleotides) under Rattus norvegicus (Norway rat). Lineage: Eukaryota; Metazoa; Chordata; Mammalia; Rodentia; Muridae. The record is from RNAcentral.